GGUGAAAAUGAUGAAUUCUGGGGCACUGAUUCAUGUGACUUGAAAAAGCCAUCCAUUUCCUGAUUCACC
Molecule: small nucleolar RNA, 69 nt
Filed under: Dasypus novemcinctus (nine-banded armadillo)
Lineage: Eukaryota; Metazoa; Chordata; Mammalia; Cingulata; Dasypodidae
Description: Small nucleolar RNA SNORD123 (ENSDNOG00000039032.1)
Rfam family: Small nucleolar RNA SNORD123
Source: RNAcentral